Molecule: ribosomal RNA, 231 nt
Filed under: Shewanella xiamenensis
Lineage: Bacteria; Pseudomonadati; Pseudomonadota; Gammaproteobacteria; Alteromonadales; Shewanellaceae
Description: partial 23S ribosomal RNA
Rfam family: Bacterial large subunit ribosomal RNA
Source: RNAcentral
GAAUGGGCUGGAAAGCCCAGCGGCACAGGGUGAUAGCCCCGUAGACGAAAACUUACAUUUGAUGAAAACGAGUAAGGCGGGACACGUGAUAUCCUGUUUGAAUAUGGGGGGUCCAUCCUCCAAGGCUAAAUACUCCUGACUGACCGAUAGAGAACCAGUACCGUGAGGGAAAGGCGAUAAGAACCCCUGUGAGGGGAGUGAAAUAGAACCUGAAACCGUAUACGUACAAGC